CCUACGGGAGGCAGCAGUGGGGAAUAUUGGACAAUGGGGGGAACCCUGAUCCAGCGACGCCGCGUGAGUGAAGAAGUAUUUCGGUAUGUAAAGCUCUAUCAGCAGGGAAGAAAGAAAUGACGGUACCUGACUAAGAAGCCCCGGCUAACUACGUGCCAGCAGCCGCGGUAAUACGUAGGGGGCAAGCGUUAUCCGGAUUUACUGGGUGUAAAGGGAGCGUAGACGGCGAUGCAAGUCUGAAGUGAAAGGCGGGGGCACAACCCCCGGACUGCUUUGGAAACUGUAUGGCUGGAGUGCAGGAGAGGUAAGUGGAAUGCCUAGUGUAGCGGUGAAAUGCGUAGAUAUUAGGAGGAACACCAGUGGCGAAGGCGGCUUACUGGACUGUAACUGACGUUGAGGCUCGAAAGCGUGGGGAGCAAACAGGAUUAGAUACCCUUGUAGUC
Molecule: ribosomal RNA, 443 nt
Filed under: uncultured bacterium
Lineage: Bacteria
Description: partial 16S ribosomal RNA
Rfam family: Bacterial small subunit ribosomal RNA
Source: RNAcentral